GGACCAGGGUGGUGUAGUAGUUUGAAUGCUGGACUAUAGCUCCAGAGACCUGGGUUCGAAUCCCUGCUCAGCCA
Phrynosoma platyrhinos (Desert horned lizard) is the source of this 74-nucleotide non-coding RNA. The record is from the annotation of a GenBank genome assembly. Lineage: Eukaryota; Metazoa; Chordata; Lepidosauria; Squamata; Phrynosomatidae.